GGGCCUGUAGCUCAAUUGGUUAGAGCCGGCGGCUCAUAACCGCCUGGUUGGGGGUUCGAGUCCCUCCGGGCCUACCA
RNAcentral lists this transfer RNA (77 nucleotides) under Fulvimarina endophytica. RNAcentral's name for it is "Fulvimarina sp. 85 tRNA-Met". It matches the Rfam family "tRNA". Rfam says of the family: Transfer RNA (tRNA) molecules are approximately 80 nucleotides in length. Their secondary structure includes four short double-helical elements and three loops (D, anti-codon, and T loops). Further hydrogen bonds mediate the characteristic L-shaped molecular structure. tRNAs have two regions of fundamental functional importance: the anti-codon, which is responsible for specific mRNA codon recognition, and the 3' end, to which the tRNAs corresponding amino acid is attached (by aminoacyl-tRNA synthetases). tRNAs cope with the degeneracy of the genetic code in two manners: having more than one tRNA (with a specific anti-codon) for a particular amino acid; and 'wobble' base-pairing, i.e. permitting non-standard base-pairing at the 3rd anti-codon position. The record is from RNAcentral. Lineage: Bacteria; Pseudomonadati; Pseudomonadota; Alphaproteobacteria; Hyphomicrobiales; Aurantimonadaceae.